CAAUCAUGCCUGAGGGAAUGAUCGAGCUGAUUAAAAGCGAUUCGGAUAAGGGACUUGACGACCUUCUCUAGGUCAGAAUGGAUGGAGAUGAUUUUACAGAGGAUUGAGAAUAUAAGAAUUUAAAAUACUUGUCAUACUUCCCCGUUCCUAGUAUAGCUUAGCGCACUUCAAAGCUGAAGGAGUUGUGAUCAUGUGACAUUUCUGGAGAUUGAGUAUAUCACUCUCCUCUCCUGUGGCGUAGAUACUAUUUGCUUCAACUUCUAGUUUUUUCCGUGCCCGCCGCUCGUGAAUUGUACAUUGCUUAUUUAGAUAGCGGCGUUUGCUAAUAUUACCAACUGUCCAAUUUCCCAAGCGUGCCCUCCACUACUAUUUCGAUUCUAUUGGCGUUCCCGAACAGCCUCCUGACUCCAUAAAGUUCAGUACAUGAGGUUUUGAUGCGCUCGGUGAGGUGAGGGCGGCGUGGGACCUAUUUCCACCUUGGGAUCACCUCUUGUUGAGGCCAUACCGGCAUGGGUUUCUCUGAAGCUCGAGCCUACCGGGCAUUUGGUGCCCGGUCGACGUGGCUCACAGUCUUCCUCGCGCUGGCGAACUCACUCGCUGUCAGCGCGAAAUGUGCGGCUGAUUAUUUUGUUGAUUCACUUCCAGGCCGGCCUGAUAGCCCACAGGUGCAAAUGCAUGCUGGCCACAUCGAAAUAAACCAUAAAACUAGCGCAAACCUCUUCUUCUGGCAUGUUGCCAACCAGCACAUUGCUGAUAAACCGCGAACCGUAAUAUGGCUGAACGGUGGACCUGGCUGCAGUUCCGAAGACGGAGCGCUGAUGGAAAUUGGUCCCUACAGGGUUACGAAUGAUCAUAUGCUAAAUUAUACCGAUGGCUCUUGGGACGAAUUUGCCAAUUUGCUAUUUGUAGAUCAGCCGGUGGGCACAGGUUUUAGUUAUGUUAGCACGGGGGCCUAUGUCAGUGAGCUCGGUGAGAUGGCCUCGCAGUUCGUAACUUUCUUAGAAAAAUGGUUUGAGCUGUUCCCCCAUUACGAGAAAAAUGAUCUUUAUUUCGCCGGAGAAUCAUAUGCAGGACAAUACAUUCCUUAUAUCGCCCGCGCAAUUCUCGAUCGGAAUAAGAAGGGAGAAUCGCUGACACGAUGGAAACUCAAAGGGCUCCUCAUUGGCAAUGGCUGGAUAUCACCUCGUCACCAGUAUCUAUCUUACCUACCCUACGCUUAUCAGGAAGGAAUAAUCCAAGGUGGCACCGAUGCAUCAAGCCGCGUUGAGGCGAAAUUAUCAAAAUGCUUGAAGAAAUUGAACGUCGAAGACAGCACGGGGACUGUGCAGAUUUCCGCCUGU
This 1340-nucleotide small RNA is filed under the name Histoplasma capsulatum. RNAcentral describes it as "hypothetical RNA". Lineage: Eukaryota; Fungi; Ascomycota; Eurotiomycetes; Onygenales; Ajellomycetaceae. RNAcentral also lists the same sequence under 1 other name. The record is from RNAcentral.